AAUCAACGCUGGCGGCGUGCCUCAGACAUGCAAGUCGAACGCGAAAGUUCCCUUCGGGGGAUGAGUAGAGUGGCGCACGGGUGAGUAACACGUAGGUAAUCUACCUUCGGAUGGGGAAGUAACAACCGGAAACGGUUGCUAAUACCGCAUAAUGCAGCGGCACCUAAUGGUGACAGUUGUUAAAGCGGGGGAGUCGAAAGACCUCGCGUCUGAAGAGGAGCCUGCGGCGGAUUAGCUAGUUGGUAGGGUAACGGCCUACCAAGGCUACGAUCCGUAGCCGGCCUGAGAGGGCGGUCGGCCACACUGACACUGACAUACGGGUCAGACUCCUACGGGAGGCAGCAGUCGGGAAUUUUGGGCAAUGGGCGAAAGCCUGACCCAGCAACGCCGCGUGAAGGAUGAAAUCCCUCGGGAU
This 415-nucleotide ribosomal RNA is filed under the name uncultured bacterium. Its description in RNAcentral is "bacterial SSU rRNA". It matches the Rfam family "Bacterial small subunit ribosomal RNA", at positions 32 to 424 of the family's 1533-position model. The record is from RNAcentral.